UCAGGCCUCGCGGGCAGCGCUUGGGUCCGCGCGCCCGGCCGCGGCCACCCACCGGUCGGGGCACCUUGUGUCCUCCCGCCCCGAGCGCCGCGGGCGCUUCUGCUUCCACCCGCCGCACAGGGCCGGGGCUUGCGGGGCCGCUACUCCGCAGUGCCCCGCUCCGCCCUUCCCAGGCCGACCUGGGAAGUCCUGGGAUCCUCGGCCCCCGCCCGAAAGCGGGUGAGGGGAUCCGGGGGUGGGAGGAAAAGCCGCGGGGCCACUGCUCGUCCCGCGGGGCGUCCGUUAGGAACGAAGCGCCGCUUCCGUCUCGGAGCCGCGCUCUGGCCGGCGCCCUCGAGAGUCGGUGCGGUUCACCCGCCGCAGCCGUGCGUCGCUCGGGCCUGGUCGGGCGUCGUCGCUGCGCGCCUCUGCCGAUGAGAGGGCGUCGUGCGCCCCCGCGUCCCCGGGAAGGAGCCGUCUAGGACGGAUCGCUGCUCCCAGGCCCUUCGUGCCGCCGCCGCAGGAGAGCCUCUGCGCGGCGGUGCGGCCCCGGUCCGCGGCCCCGGCGGCUCUGCGGUGCCCUGAAGAGCUGUUGGGACUUGGAAACUGCCUCUCCGGCACCGCCAUGCAGGAUUCUCGGAAGCGCGAGAGCGCGGACACCUGGAAAUGGUGCCCUCCCCGCCCUUCGUCUGCACGCCUGCCUCCCCGCGAGCCCUCGGAACUGACGGCCCCUCCGGCGCAGCUCUCCUCCCCUCCGAAGUACGGGCCGGAGAGCACUUCGAGUUGAGAAUCCUGACUGCGGAGAGGGCCGAGAGUAACCAGCCCCUAAAAAGGAAGGAAGCUCUCCAUGAGACGGUGAAAGGAUUGAAGCUUCCUGGUUAGCUUUCUACAAAAGACCAACACCAAAGGCCCUCAUUGGCAACCCGAGGACCCCUCUCACUCCUGAGAGCUUUUUCUGUGUCUUCACUUAAUAAACUUCUUACAAACUAA
Molecule: long non-coding RNA, 969 nt
Organism: Neogale vison (American mink)
Lineage: Eukaryota; Metazoa; Chordata; Mammalia; Carnivora; Mustelidae
Exons: 2
Source: RefSeq, a predicted model, not a curated record